ACGGCUCAGUAACACGUGGACAACCUACCCUCAGCACGGGGAUAAACCCGGGAAACUGGGUAUAAUACCCGAUAGUUCUGGGAUGCUGGAAUGCUUCCAGGACGAAAGCUCCGGCGACUGAGGAUGGGUCUGCGGCCUAUCAGGUAGUAGUGGGUGUAAUGUACCUACUAGCCUACGACGGGUACGGGUCGUGAGAGCGAGAGCCCGGAGAUGGAUUCUGAGACACGAAUCCAGGCCCUACGGGGUGCAGCAGGCGCGAAAACUUUACAAUGCUGGCAACAGCGAUAAGGGGACCUCAAGUGCCAGGAUACAAUCUUGGCUGUCGUGAUGCCUAAAAAGCAUUGCAUAGCAAGGGCCGGGCAAGACCGGUGCCAGCCGCCGCGGUAACACCGGCGGCUCGAGUGGUAACCGCUAUUAUUGGGUCUAAAGGGUCUGUAGCCGGCCGGAUAAGUCUUCUGGGAAAUCCAGCUGCUCAACAGUUGGGCUUUCAGAAGAUACUGUUCGGCUCGAGGCCGGGAGAGGUGAGAGGUACUUCAGGGGUAGGGGUGAAAUCUUGUAAUCCUUGAAGGACCACCAGUGGCGAAGGCGUCUCACCAGAACGGUCCUGACGGCAAGGGACGAAAGCUAGGGGCACGAACCGGAUUAGAUACCCGGGUAGUCCUAGCCGUAAACGAUACUCGCUAGGUGUCAGCCACGGUGCGACCGUGGUUGGUGCCGUAGGGAAGCCGUGAAGCGAGCCACCUGGGAAGUACGGCCGCAAGGCUGAAACUUAAAGGAAUUGGCGGGGGAGCAC
This 793-nucleotide ribosomal RNA is filed under the name uncultured archaeon. RNAcentral describes it as "bacterial SSU rRNA". It matches the Rfam family "Archaeal small subunit ribosomal RNA", at positions 85 to 879 of the family's 1478-position model. The record is from RNAcentral.